GGGAGCCAUACGAGCGGCGGAGGACUCACCUGCAGCAACACCGCCAGCAGGAAGCACAGAAAUAACCAGUUCUUCAAACGCUCUUAGAACCAGCUUUACCAUCCUACUGCUUCCUUCAUCAAUUAAAAUAAAAUCAUUGACAUGGGUUCAUUCUGUAUAGAAGCAUACGAGAGAGAAAUCAGCAAUGAUUCCUAUGUUUCUGGAUUCAACAACUGGGAAAAUGGAGCAACAUACCUUAAUAAAGACAGCCAAAGUCCAAAUACCUCUGUCAACAUUAAGUUGAUAUAAACACAGCAAAUGUGAUGGGAGUGACCAGAUCACAAGGAAGCCAGAUUUUGAGGACAGAUGUCUGGGAGGAAGGAGCAAGAAGACAAAGGGAGGAAAAGCAAAAAGAACAUGGAAUUAGCGGUGAGAUGGACGUGUCUCCGUGUUCUGGCCUCCCAAACCAACAACUGUCAUUCAAAAA
Molecule: long non-coding RNA, 466 nt
Organism: Balaenoptera acutorostrata (minke whale)
Lineage: Eukaryota; Metazoa; Chordata; Mammalia; Artiodactyla; Balaenopteridae
Exons: 4
Source: RefSeq, a predicted model, not a curated record